UACGUAGGGGGCAAGCGUUAUCCGGAAUCACUGGGCGUAAAGGGUGCGUAGGCGGUCCUUCAAGCCAGAGGUAAAAGGCAUUGGCUUAACCAAUGUAAGCCUUUGGAACUGUUGGACUUGAGUGCAGGAGAGGUAAGUGGAAUUCCUAGUGUAGCGGUGAAAUGCGUAGAUAUUAGGAGGAACACCAGUGGCGAAGGCGACUUACUGGACUGUAACUGACGCUGAGGCACGAAAGCGUGGGGAGC
RNAcentral lists this ribosomal RNA (245 nucleotides) under uncultured bacterium. RNAcentral describes it as "partial 16S ribosomal RNA". It matches the Rfam family "Bacterial small subunit ribosomal RNA", at positions 524 to 769 of the family's 1533-position model. The record is from RNAcentral.